Molecule: long non-coding RNA, 281 nt
Filed under: Lathyrus oleraceus (garden pea)
Lineage: Eukaryota; Viridiplantae; Streptophyta; Magnoliopsida; Fabales; Fabaceae
Description: Pisum sativum (pea) long non-coding RNA (PSAT_LNC021089)
Source: RNAcentral
UUUCUUUUCUUUAGUCCUCUUCUGACCGUUAGAGGAGAGAGAUAUUGGAGCACGUGUGCUAGCUGGCAUUUAAUAAUGGAAUCCAAUGCUCAACAAAUAUAUUUUUUUUUUGGAACUACUAUUAUUAUUUUAUUGUCAAAGAAAAUAUGUCUAUUUCAAAAAAAUUAUAUAAUCGAUAAUCUCAUUAGAUAAUAAGAAAAUCCUAAUUAAUAAAUUUGAAUAUUUAGGAAGAAACAAAAAUAAAACGGUUAAAUAUGCAUAAAAGUCAGGCGUAAAUUUGC